CCCUUAGAUGUCCGGGGCUGCACGCGCGCUACACUGAAGGAAUCAGCGUGCUAAAACUAUUGUCGAAAGGCAUUGGUAAACCCAUUAAAAUCCUACGUGAUUGGGAUCGGGAAUUGCAAUUAUUUCCCUUGAACGAGGAAUUCCCAGUAAGUGUGGGUCAUAAGCUCGCGUUGAUUACGUCCCUGCCCUUUGUACACACCGCCCGUCGCUGCCCGGGACUGAGCCGUUUCGAGAAAAGCGGGGACUGCUGCUGUCGGGGCUUUCGGGCCUUGGCUUCGGUGGAAACCGCUUUAAUCGCAGUGGCUUGAACCGGGCAAAAGUCGUAACA
Molecule: ribosomal RNA, 328 nt
Filed under: uncultured eukaryote
Lineage: Eukaryota
Description: partial 18S ribosomal RNA
Rfam family: Eukaryotic small subunit ribosomal RNA
Source: RNAcentral